RNAcentral lists this transfer RNA (61 nucleotides) under Drosophila quinaria. RNAcentral's name for it is "tRNA-Gly". The record is from RNAcentral. Lineage: Eukaryota; Metazoa; Arthropoda; Insecta; Diptera; Drosophilidae.
AUUUAUAUAGUAUAAUAGUAUAUUUGACUUCCAAUCAUAAGGUCUGUAAAUUACAGUAUAA